RNAcentral lists this ribosomal RNA (473 nucleotides) under uncultured bacterium. Its description in RNAcentral is "bacterial SSU rRNA". It matches the Rfam family "Bacterial small subunit ribosomal RNA", at positions 8 to 501 of the family's 1533-position model. The record is from RNAcentral.
AGAGUUUGAUCCUGGCUCAGAAUGAACGCUGGCGGCGUGCUUAACACAUGCAAGUCGAACGGUAACAGAGGAGCUUGCUCCUGCUGACGAGUGGCGCACGGGUGAGUAAUGCAUAGGUAACGUGCCCCUUAGUCUAGGAUAGCCACUGGAAACGGUGAUUAAUACUGGAUACUCCUUCUCUUUUAAUAAGAGUUGGGAAAGUUUUUCGCUAAGGGAUCGGCCUAUGUUGUAUCGGGUAGUUGGUGAGGUAAUGGCUCACCAAGCCUAUGACACAUAGCGGGUCUGAGAGGAUGAUCCGCCACACUGGUACUGAGACACGGACCAGACUCCUACGGGAGGCAGCAGUGGGGAAUAUUGCACAAUGGACGAAAGUCUGAUGCAGCAACGCCGCGUGGAGGAUGACACAUUUCGGUGCGUAAACUCCUUUUAUAUGAGAAGAUAAUGACGGUAUCAUAUGAAUAAGCACCGCUAAC